GAAAUUUGGCGAAAAAGGAAUUGGAGAGGAACCGUUGUGUAAUCUCUACACUCCCAAGUACCAAACAUAAAUACAACUGAAUUUACAGCUCAGAAAUUUAAGCCUUUUUCCCUUUGGAUUAAAAUGUACAGUUCGCGCAAUCUUCUCUCAGUACCUGCUCCUGGGUUAUGCACUCAGGUUCCAAGAAGAGAUUCAUCGUCGGUAAUCCACUACACUCUGUUUUCUUACGUUUUCUUUUAUCUCUAUUUUAGAGUUUGAUCAAGUUUCUUGGAGCUUGAACUUUCGGAAGUAUGCGCAGAUUUUUUUUUUCGUCGUUGUUCUUCGUUUGGGGGUGUUAACUUGAAAUGGAGGGAAAGAGAAUUAAGAGAUGAAUUAAUUGUUCUGGCAAUAUUGUGAUGAUACAUGUGACUGUUUAAAGGUCAUUUCUAAUUUCAAGUUAUUAAAUGAAUUAAUUCUUCAAUUUCUGGAGUCUUGGAUUGAAGAAAUAUGUUAGUUAAUCUUUUCUUAACAAUUUAAGCUUUACAAUAAGAUGAUUUCUUAGAGCAUGCUAAGGUUUUGGUUUUAUGAAAAUUUUAUGAAAUCAGGGAUGUGAUGAUGUAUACACAUAAACAAAUUUCUUUCGUAUAAAAGCUUGACUUUUUAGUUGCGGUGAUGAUUCAAGAUCAUUGACAAUUUUUCAUGGUGAAAUUAAAGUAGAGAUCCAUAGUUAUAUUUUUGAAAUAAAAGGCAAGGCAAAUAUCUUAUUCUAUCUAACUCUAGGGGGGUUACCAUUCUAUUACAAUUUAUGUUGCUUCAUAGUCUUUGAUGACCUUAAAUAAAUGCAAAAAGAAAGUUCAAUCCUUUUUGCUCAAUGGAUAGGAUAUUGAUCUUCCACAUUGCCUUAAGGGUCUUCCGCAUUGAAAUCCAUAAUUGAAACUUUUAGUCUAUUUAAUCAAUGUUAGUUAUGCAAAGUGUAGUAAUUUUUCAACAAUCUAUGUAUCCUGUUGUGCAACAUUUUUUGACAGGCGUUGAGCGGUAGGUCUGUCACAUCACAACCAACUGGACUAAUCUUUGGUCCUUGGAAAUUGCUCACAAAUGCCAUUAAUAUUUCCCCAUUACCUAUCAUAACGACUCCAAAGGUAUGUUUUAGCUUUUGAUGUUCAUCUUACAUAGCACUUUAAUACAAUUCCAAACAGUUCUCCAAUAUCAACUGAAGCAACUGAUGCCUUAACCAUGCCAUCAUAUUUGGUGAUAGUAGUACAGAUUGUCCCAUCAACCUUUAGUGUUGGGUGGAUCAAGUGAGAUGAAGAACAA
RNAcentral lists this long non-coding RNA (1293 nucleotides) under Olea europaea (common olive). RNAcentral describes it as "long non-coding RNA (OEUR_LNC002689)". The record is from RNAcentral. Lineage: Eukaryota; Viridiplantae; Streptophyta; Magnoliopsida; Lamiales; Oleaceae.